CCAGCCCUGCCUCUGUUAAAUCCCUGUGCAGAGCCGAGGGAUUUUCCCACGUCUUAUUCCCUCUGCGUCCUGCAAGGCGAACUUGCCCCCUUCCCUUCUUGCAUCGGGGGAGGGGGCUGCUUGCUUUAGCUCAGCCCCCUGAUCAGAAAACCCCCCCCCCGGCACAGAACCUGUCCACCGGUGCAAGGAGAGCCGCUGCUUUGCAUGACGCAGCCGCUGUGCGUGGGGAAGGGGCAGGGGGAGGAGAGGGUCCCUCUUCGCCUCUGCUGCCGGAGGAGCACUUCGGAGCUGAGCGAGCCUGAAGCCCGCGGCGGGCGCCUGCCUGGGACCGCACCCCAGCACGAGAGACUUGCAGCAGAUCUCUCUGCCCCACUCCUGUAAACAAACAAAGGUGAGAAUUCAUUUCAUCUGAAUUUUACCUGCCCUGUGAACAACGGCACCAUGGAUCUGGCGUACGAGUUGCCCAAUGUCACUGAGUUCUGGUUCUCUUCGGCCUCCCAGUUAGACAACUUCUCCACGGAGAUGUCUGCCAACGCCUCCCAGAACACUACGGGCCAGCAUUUUGACCUGACUAGCAAUGCCAUCCUUACCUUCAUCUACUUUGGGGUGUGCAUCAUAGGCCUGUGCGGCAACACACUGGUGAUCUAUGUCAUCCUCCGCUAUGCCAAGAUGAAGACCAUCACCAACAUCUACAUCCUGAACCUUGCCAUCGCAGAUGAGCUCUUCAUGCUGGGGCUGCCAUUCCUGGCCAUGCAGGUGGCUCUGGUCCACUGGCCCUUCGGCAGAGCCAUCUGCCGGAUCGUCAUGACUGUGGAUGGGAUCAACCAGUUCACUAGUAUCUUCUGCCUGACCGUCAUGAGCAUCGACAGGUACCUGGCUGUGGUCCACCCCAUCAAAUCUGCCAAGUGGAGAAGGCCAAGAACGGCCAAGAUGAUCAAUGUUGCCGUGUGGGGUGUUUCCCUUCUGGUCAUUAUGCCCAUCAUGAUUUAUGCUGGGAUCCAAAACAACCAUGGAAGGAGUAGCUGCACCAUAAUCUGGCCAGGCGAGUCUGGCGCAUGGUACACAGGGUUCAUCAUAUAUGCCUUCAUUCUGGGCUUCCUGGUGCCCCUCACCAUUAUCUGCCUUUGCUACUUGUUCAUCAUUAUCAAAGUCAAGUCCUCUGGGAUCAGAGUGGGCUCCUCCAAGAGGAAAAAGUCGGAGAAGAAAGUCACCAGGAUGGUCUCCACCGUAGUGGCAGUCUUCAUCUUCUGCUGGCUUCCCUUCUACAUAUUUAACGUCUCCUCCGUCUCCGUCUCCGAAUCCAUCACCCCCACGCCCUUCCUCAAGGGUAUGUUUGAUUUCGUUGUGGUCCUCACCUAUGCCAACAGCUGCGCCAACCCCAUCCUCUACGCCUUUUUGUCCGACAACUUCAAGAAGAGCUUUCAGAACGUUCUCUGCCUGGUGAAGGUCAGUGGCAUGGAUGAUGCCGACAGGAGCGACAGCAAGCAGGACAAAUCCAGGCUAAAUGAGACCACAGAAACUCAAAGGACUCUGCUUAAUGGUGACCUUCAGACAAGCAUCUGAGAGGACUCCAGGAUUGCCCUUUUCAGCUGUCCUCUUUCCUCCUCCUCCCCACUCCUUUAUAUGGCAGUAGCACACAGCAAGUCAGGUCAAGAGUACUUGGUCGUUGUUUGCUUGUCUUAGGGGAUGGUAAUGCAGGGAGGGGGGCCUGUGCCAAGAGUAGCCUCUUAGCGGAAGGCAGGUUGGUUUUGAAUAUUCAGACAGAUGCUGCUCAAAUGCAACUUCAUACAUGGAAAGACACAUACACACACACGAGGGCAGCACUUGGAGGCAUUUCUGCUAGACUUGGUUACACAUACCAACAUGCUCCAUACAGCAUGGGUCACAUAUGUCUAGACAGAGCUAUUCAUGGCUGUUUCUUUGCAAAGCAGUCGACCCAGCUGGAAAUGGGAGAGAGCAGUCUUAAGAAUCAGAGCACACACAGUGAGAUCCUCCACUAGGACAUGAAGAAUAUUUCAUUUUAUUACCCAACUAGUAAAAUUUUAUUUUUUUAAGACUGAAUCUCCUGAAGCUCCCCUAGUUUUACGAGAAUAUUACUGUAUUUAUUUACAAGGUGCUUUUCCUGCCACCGGAGAAGCAACAGAUCAGAAUGAAAGAAAUCACAUCGGAAGGAAAAUAUCCCGGCCCCAGUACAGUGUGUGUAUGUGUGUGAGGGUGGACAAAUAGGACUCAGACCUCCUAAGAGAUCUGGAACCCAAUUUCCAUUAAAAUUGAUGCCUCAGGGCAGCCUGGAAAAUCUCCGUUGAUAUACACACCUGUGCAGUCAGAUACACGGUGCUGGUAUAUAUGUGAGCAGUUAUAUUUGCGGUGGACUCACCUGACCUGGACUCUGCCCACCGGCCCAUCUAGCCAGUGCUACCUCUCACAUCCCAGACCUUCGAGCAGCUUCAAAUACAGCCACCUUCCCGCUUAAAUCAACUUGCCAUAAAAAAGCCUUUCUCCUCUCCCUCAUAUGUAUAAUGUUUCCCUUCUUUCACCUGAAAUGAACUAGAAACACUGCUCCAAAGGGCGGCAUGGGCCAUCUUCAGUCCUGAGCUAGUGGUGGCUUUCCCGUCGUCCCCCAGCCACUGCUUUUCUGUUGUUUUCCUCCAGGGGAAUGUGGCAGGGACUUUUAGCGAGUGCGUUGUCUGAGAGGCAUCAGAGACGAGCAACAGCAUCCUUCACAUGGAAAGCACCUGCACGUGUUCAAUCUGCAGCCACACAAGCCCAGAUUCGGCGUGCCGUUCAAUUCUAGCAUUCAUGAUGCUGUGGCGGAAACAGCUACCGGAACAUUGUCGAGCUGUGUGUUUGGUGUUGUUGCAUGCACACACGUGCACACAAAGGCUCUAGGGAAGCCACUGGCUCUCUCGCUGGCUGCUCAGCGAGGCCUUUUCCGCCCUCGUGCGUGUUCUGUUGAUGUUCCUGGGCUAGCAAGACUCCUGGGGUUGUAAAUUACAAGCCGCUGGCCAUCAGUUAUUACAAGGUGGAUGCUUUACUUUGCCGUUGGUCUGAGCGUGGACGUUUCUGACGCUGCAGACGUGGUCUAAAGAAGGUACCAAGGGAGAGGCUGAGGGACAUUUGACGACUCUGUCUAAAAUGUUGACAGAUGCCAGGCCUGACUGGGACGCUAUCUCCUGGGAGCUGGAUCCUGCUUCCUGUCCUGCUAGGUCACUCCUCAAGCAGCCCUAUGGAAAUCCACCCCUGGGAUGGAAUACAGAGCAAGCUAUUAAGUAAGGUGAGUGACAGUGGCAGGCUCUAGCUCGUAACUACAUGGAUGAAGAGAGAAGGAAAAUUCCCCUUGUGAAACAUUUGCCAUGGAGUACAGCCUCUGCCCCAGUUCAGCUCCGCAGCGAAGAUUCCAUUGCAAUAAGACUCAGAGUGUGAACGGCUCGGAGAAUGCUUCGAGCUAUAGGUGAACUUGUGCAUUGAAAUGAACUGAGGAGACAAAGAGUUGCGUGCCUCACUCCCAUAAAAGUGAUUUGGGCACCUAACACCCUUAAGCUCUUGGGAAGAUACCAGGCUGAACUGUUAUCUAGAUGACAGGUACCGGACCACUCACUGAUGUUCGUGAAGAAUGGUGUGUGUAUGAGAGGUAGGGGAAAACUGGAAUUUUGUUCCUCUCUCUCCCCUCAACCCCUAUCAAAAGCUAAAUUUCCAGCCUGCCCAAAACUAGACUCCCAUCCAUUUUAUUGUUGCUGAAUUAGUCAGGGAGAUAAACCACCACUCACCCGUCAGUUUAAUAGCUACAGAAUGCUGGGUGUCACAACCCUGGAGAAUAAGAAUGUCCAGUUAUAAUAAUUAGGGCUGGAAGUUUGUCGCAGCAUUGUUUAAAUCGAAAAUCAGGGAGCAAUCACGGUAAAUGUAGUAAGAGUCCUGGGCUUAGUGACUGCUCUGUGAUUUCCGAUAAAAAAGUGCCUUGAUAAAUGAGAGGGCACUGAGCACCCACAGCAGCACCUUCUGGCCUGGUACCGCCACUCUCAUCCUGGCUGGGUGAAGCAGGGGCAUGCCUGGAGGGUGAGCCUGCCCCUCACUCACCCCAGACAUGGAUAGAAUGUCAUGUUUGGCGAGAGGAAGGAAGGUGUCUGUGCCAAAUUUGAGUGAGCGGUGCUGCGACUCCAUGCGCCAGGUCGCAACACCCGGAGCAAUGAGUCAGGCCCAGCCCUGGGGGACACAGGAGCCAACACUGUUGGAUGGACUCUCUCCAGCCCCCCAUCCACCCAGGACCUCCCCUCCACACUGGGCUGGUGACCCACCUAAAGCCUUCCUGCAGGAAGUCACAGACAAAUGGAGAAAUCAUGGUAUCUAUGGUUUUUCUGCACUGUGACAAACCUGCUGCCCUAAUAAUGAUGCCCCCCCCCCCAAAAAAAGGAAGGGAGAUAAAAUCUCAGGCUUCAACCACUCUAUUAGGAUGAGACCUUCAUGGGGCGUGGUAUGGUUAUUAUCCCCCAGGUGCCUCAUGUGGGGCUUCUUGCACCUUCUCCCGAAGCAUCUGGCACUGGCAACUGUCAGUGGCAGGUUUCAGGGCUAGAUAGACCUUGGAUCUGAGCCAGUCUGCCAGUUCCUAGGGUAGCUCCCAAAAAAGUAUUGCAUGAAACAAGAAAAAUACAAAUUCAACCAGUUUUGCUAUAGAUGAUUACAACUGCAGGAAAUUCUGGCUUUUCAAAAUAAACACAUUUUUGGGCUGUUUUGGAGCAGCAGAGUGUGCCUGAGAUUUAAAAAAAAAAAAAAAAUCCAACAAAAAACUCUGAGAACGUUUUUUUCCUAUUAAACAUUUUUCAACCAGCUCUAAUCAUUAGAGAGAUUAUUGCAAUUGGACUGAUUUAGCACUGGGAAUGCCAUGACAUUUCCCAAGGCUCACCAGCAAGCAAAUGCUCAGAGAGUUACUGGUUCUGGAAGCCUGGAUGACCCAAACACACAGAGCACAGACUGGUUUGAAAUCUUUUCCUAAGAAGUUUUGAGCCUUGAGAACAAAAAGUUACUGGCCUUCAAGGAAAGAGAUGUCCAAGAGGCCAGUUCUCUGCAUCCUCGUUUAUCAGCCUUCAAGUGCUCCCGACAGGGGAAGGGUUCAGCUGGCACACAGCAUGGUAAAUGGGUAUGUUCAUCUCUGAGUGAAGCAAGGUAUAGUGUAACGAGAGCACAUUUAUGAAGAUUAAGCAGGCCCACGCAUGUCACUUGCAAGCAAGUGGUGCUAAGACUGCUUUUUGUCUACAAACUAUUGUAACAUUACAGUCAUGGGGAAGCUCAUCUGUUGGAAAAAGAGAGUGUGUGCCCCUGUGUGAAAGAGAGACAUAUUGUAUUACCAGGGAAAUGAAUAGAGAUAUUUACUGCAAUUGUAAAUACAUUGGCCUUCCUAGGACUCAUUGAAGAACAGCUAGUUCUGCAAUCAGAGAGUGCUGAUAAUAGAGUCGUGCUCUGGCCCAAUGCCUGUAAGAAGCCUUGGAGAGACUAAAGCCAGCGAAGUGAACCGACUGUCAAAAUCAGUCUAAGUUACAAAGUCUGGAUCAGAGCCAGAUCUGAAUGUCCGCAAGGUUCAGGAGAAGGUUGGUUUGUUCCAUUACAAGCCAGCUAUGAAAUUUUGGUCUGUCUUGACACUGCACCGAACUUUGGGGACUCUUUGGACCCUAAUAUCAUAGCAGGGGCAUCUCUCCAGAGGUCCUGUUCUUUCACCACACGACAAGCAUGGUCCAUUGGGUUCAAGUGGAGUUUGCUCUUUUCCCAUGGUGGGGGGGGGGAAUCAUUAGGAAACAGAGUGUUUCUACAGCAUGCUUCCUUCCUAUUCCCACUCCCUUACUCCACAAAAUCUGCUUCUUUCAGACCAUCACCCUAAAAACAAACAGGUAAUCUGUGAGCACGCAGCUGUGGGAAAGCACUUUGCAUACACAUUGUUACAGCAGGUAAUAUUCCUGGGGCAGACAGUACUACCUGCUAACGGGAUGCAUUCAUUUAACUAGAACAGGGGUAGGCAACCUAUGGCACGCGCGCCAAGGGCGGCGCACAAGGUGAUUUUCGGUGGCACUCACACGGCCCGGGUCCUGGCCACCGGUCUGGGGGGCUCUGCCUUUUAAUUUUAAAUGAAGCUUCUUAAACAUUUUUAAAAACCUUACUGACUUGACAUACAACAAUAGUUUAGUUAUAUAUUAUAGACUUCUAGAAAGACCUUCUAAAAACGUUACAAUGUAUUAGAGGCACACGAAAGCUUAAAUUAGGGUGAAUCAAUGAAGACUCGGUACACCGCUUCUGAAAGGCUGCUGAUCCCUGAACUAGAAUAUAUGUGCAUUAGCUCGAGAGGUUCCUUCCAGGCAGACUCAUAUAUAUGAAAUCUGACACGUCAGACACCUUUCUGCUUCAAUCAGGAGGUGUUAACCUUUUGUAACAAGGUAUAAUCCGAUAACUGUCCUGGGAAGCUCUUGCAAACCGAGCAAUUAUUAGAGCAGGCUGGUUUCAUUGUGUCUUUGCAGCAUUUCAGAUGUUCUCAUCCUAUUCAAAUAUUUCUGUGUUGCAGUUCUUGAAAAACGUGGUUCGGGGGUGGGAAAUUCUUGUUUGGGAAAAAAGGACAAAAAUAAACUAACACACACCCAGGUACUUUAUGCUCAAACAAGGCAAUAUUUGCUCAUACCUGAGAGCAAUAUAUUGUUGUAAAGCUGUUGCUUUAACAAUUGUUCUGUUGAAAGCCUUUUUUAGCAUGGCAAACUUUAUCCUAUUGUGCAAGUGCAUAUUUGGCAGUGUUCAUAGUGUACAUAUUUACAGAGGAUAGAGUUAAAUCCAAAGUUGUAACUCUUGCUUUCCUUGAUCAGAUUGGUUAUUUGAGAUACAGAAGGGGAUACUUUGUAUUUAGAGAGAGAAAAAAAGAAAAAAAAAAGACAGACAGAAAGAAAGAAACCCUGCUUCAGUUGUCCAUUUUAGCAUAUCUUUUCCUUUUAAUUCACUGUACAAUUUUGGAAGUGACUGUGUUAGAUACGGAUUUGAUACGUAACCAUGUCUCCUUCUAGUGUUUAGCCCCAGCAGUUAUAACAGCUGGUUACUUAUUGCUAAAAGACAUGUUCGUUCUUCUUGGUGCUCAAAGUACUGGGUUCCAGUCUCCAUUAACUGCUGAAGUAUCUGCAUGUAAUGAAACAUACAUGCAGUGUGCUAUUGUUUUAAUAGUGGUGUGGAUUUACUGGCCUGCAUAAGUCAAAGUCCUUUAAUUUAUUAAAUUUAUAAACACCAGAAACAAGUGGUCUAGAAACAGAGUAAUACAUGGAAAUAAUAAACAGACACCACCCAGAGGGUCCAAGUUCAGUUCUAAGCUUGCUGGCUGGCAAACCAGGCUUACCCCUGUAUGAUGGGCAACCUAGGUUUUCAGUUUCACUCUGUUUACAAAAGCACAGAUGUUCCAGCUACUAAGCAAAUAGUGCAUAAAUUGAGAAUGAAGGAAGGAAUACCAGGCCUAGUACCUGAGCCCAAAUAAUUUUGGAAUGGUUUGAUUAUGGGCCACAGGUAACAUAUCUCCAAGCACAUAGUAAGUAACUGGAUAAAUUCAUGGAGGUUAAGUCCAUUAAUAGCUAUUAGCCAGGAUGGGUAAGGAACGGUGUCCCUAGUCUCUGUUUGUCAGAGGGUGGAAAUGGAUGGCAGGUGAGAUAUCACUUAUGUUCUUAUGUAGUCCCAGCCGUUUCAUAGACUAUCAGGAUUGGAAGGCACCUCAGGAGGUCAUCUAGUCCAACCCCCUGCUCAAAGCAGGGCCAAUCUCCAAUUUUUGCCCCAGAUCCCUAAAUGGCCCCCCUUAAGGAUUGAGCUCACAACCCUGGGUUUAGCAGGCCAAUGCUCAAACCACUGAGUUAUCCCUUCCGCUUUUGCCAUGGGACAGGGGUCAGAGUCCGGAGGCUGCAGGAUACUAGAUACCAUUGGUGUUAAACUUGUACCACUCAAGUUGCAAAUUCAUCCUGAAACCUUCCACUGGGGACACAAGGGAGGUUAAUUGGCUUGCUGAGCAUCCACAGGCUGCUAGGACUGUUUUGUACCUAGGGCAAAUGGCCUUCAAGCAACAACUGACCAAAGACAGGAGGGGAAACACACAGUGGACUUCCAGUGCCUCCUAACCUUCAGAUCCCUGUUUCUGGAAUGGCGCCGAGUUAGAAUACUGUACUUUGAGAUGCCUUUCCCAUUUUCCCCAGCCCAUCACAGCUGGCUUAGCUUUAAGGGAGAUUCUGUGCAUUUCAUGUAUGAAGGAUUAGAUCCAAUCAUCCAACCUUGCCCUAAACUGAGCAGAGCAUUCAGAGCCCACUGCACUACCAGGAGGAAUUUAAGGUGCCCAUAAGUGGAGCAAGAGUGGCAUCUUCAGGACAGUGAGAUGAACUAUCCAGGAUGGGAAGUUAACAGCUGGAAGGGCUCCCCCCAGAGCAGAUUUCACACGUUCACUUCCUGCAGGAGCAGAGGAGUACUGUUAACAUCACCUGUUCCUUUAGCUGGUGCUUGGAACAUGUAUGAUCACAUACGGUCUCAAUUAGAAAACAAAACUAACACCUUCAAAAGAGGAGCCUGGGAACUUCAAUUCAUAACUCUACUGGACACUAAAAACCACAGACAUAACAGAGAUGCUGGCUGUAUGGCUUAUUACAACAAUUUGUAACA
Molecule: RNA transcript, 8646 nt
Organism: Caretta caretta (loggerhead turtle)
Lineage: Eukaryota; Metazoa; Chordata; Testudines; Cheloniidae
Gene: SSTR2
Gene name: somatostatin receptor 2
Source: RefSeq, a predicted model, not a curated record